UUGAACGCUGGCGGCAGGCCUAACACAUGCAAGUCGAACGGUAACAGGAAGAAGCUUGCUUCUUUGCUGACGAGUGGCGGACGGGUGAGUAAUGUCUGGGAAACUGCCUGAUGGAGGGGGAUAACUACUGGAAACGGUAGCUAAUACCGCAUAACGUCGCAAGACCAAAGAGGGGGACCUUCGGGCCUCUUGCCAUCGGAUGUGCCCAGAUGGGAUUAGCUAGUAGGUGGGGUAACGGCUCACCUAGGCGACGAUCCCUGGCUGGUCUGAGAGGAUGACCAGCCACACUGGAACUGAGACACGGUCCAGACUCCUACGGGAGGCAGCAGUGGGGAAUAUUGCACAAUGGGCGCAAGCCUGAUGCAGCCAUGCCGCGUGUAUGAAGAAGGCCUUCGGGUUGUAAAGUACUUUCAGCGGGGAGGAAGGGAGUAAAGUUAAUACCUUUGCUCAUUGACGUUACCCGCAGAAGAAGCACCGGCUAACUCCGUG
Molecule: ribosomal RNA, 489 nt
Filed under: uncultured bacterium
Lineage: Bacteria
Description: partial 16S ribosomal RNA
Rfam family: Bacterial small subunit ribosomal RNA
Source: RNAcentral